RNAcentral lists this ribosomal RNA (591 nucleotides) under uncultured bacterium. RNAcentral describes it as "bacterial SSU rRNA". It matches the Rfam family "Bacterial small subunit ribosomal RNA", at positions 1 to 588 of the family's 1533-position model. The record is from RNAcentral.
AUUCGCCCUUAGAGUUUGAUCCUGGCUCAGGAUGAACGCUGGCGGCGUGCUUAACACAUGCAAGUCGAACGAGAAUCCGGGGAAGGAGGCUUCGGCCAACGGAACUGGAGGAAAGUGGCGGACGGGUGAGUAACGCGUGAGUAACCUGCCUUGGAGAGGGGAAUAACACAUCGAAAGAUGUGCUAAUACCGCAUGAAAUGUCUGAAUCGCAUGGUUCUGGACAUCAAAGAUUUAUCGCUCUGAGAUGGACUCGCGUCUGAUUAGCUGGUUGGCGGGGUAACGGCCCACCAAGGCGACGAUCAGUAGCCGACCUGAGAGGGUGGCCGGCCACAUUGGGACUGAGACACGGCCCAAACUCCUACGGGAGGCAGCAGUGGGGAAUAUUGCACAAUGGGGGAAACCCUGAUGCAGCAACGCCGCGUGAGUGAAGAAGUAUUUCGGUAUGUAAAGCUCUAUCAGCAGGGGAGAAAAAAGACGGUACCUGACUAAGAAGCCCCGGCUAACUACGUGCCAGCAGCCGCGGUAAUACGUAGGGGGCAAGCGUUAUCCGGAUUUACUGGGUGUAAAGGGAGCGUAGACGGCAUAGCAAGU